UACGAAGGGGGCUAGCGUUGUUCGGAUUUACUGGGCGUAAAGCGCACGUAGGCGGAUUGCUAAGUCAGGGGUGAAAUCCUGGAGCUCAACUCCAGAACUGCCUUUGAUACUGGCGAUCUCGAGUCCGGGAGAGGUGAGUGGAACUGCGAGUGUAGAGGUGAAAUUCGUAGAUAUUCGCAAGAACACCAGUGGCGAAGGCGGCUCACUGGCCCGGUACUGACGCUGAGGUGCGAAAGCGUGGGGAGCAAACAGGG
RNAcentral lists this ribosomal RNA (254 nucleotides) under uncultured bacterium. RNAcentral describes it as "partial 16S ribosomal RNA". It matches the Rfam family "Bacterial small subunit ribosomal RNA", at positions 524 to 777 of the family's 1533-position model. The record is from RNAcentral.